Phalacrocorax carbo (great cormorant) is the source of this 5779-nucleotide non-coding RNA. Lineage: Eukaryota; Metazoa; Chordata; Aves; Suliformes; Phalacrocoracidae. The record is from RefSeq and is a predicted model, not a curated record.
AACAAACACAUGAGAGUGUUUCAGGUGUUUCAUGAGUUAUUCAUGUGAGUUUUACUUUCCACUCUCUACAGUCUGCCACUUCCCUUUUAAUACACAGCCUCCGUGAAACACCUCUCUGCAGGGUACGUAUCCAUUAGAUUUCAUCCAGACUGAAACUUCACCAUCCUCGUGUCUGCACACCAAGGAUCAGCCUGCACGAACCCACAAAAAGUCAUGACGUGCCGUCGCUUCCCUAAGCAGAAAUGUUUUACUGCGCCCUCUCAAGUGCUGUCCAUCUUCAUGGCAUUCUUCACAUGAAUUACUGUUCCUGAAUAAUAGCUCUUGUCUGUGUCGAAGAGCUCCUGGAAAGAUUAAUUAUCAGUGGCAAAACACUCUGUGAUCCUCAGAUAAAAAUCAGCACAGGAACAUAAAGCAGAAAUAUUUUGAUUCCUAUGAGGAUUUUCACGUCCUGACACGCAGGAACUAACGAUAUGGAAAGCAGCUACCAAGGUCCUAAUGCCGUAAAGAGAAUGUGACAAAGUCGUCUUGUGAAGGAUGACUUUGGAAAACUUCCAGGUAUAAUAUUUCUUUGAAGUUAAGGGAAACAAAAAAAUAGAAGGAGGAAUCUAAUCAAAAGAGAUUAUGGAAUUCAAACAAGAUGAUGCAGAUGCUUCCAGUUGCAUAAGAACCAAAGCAAAACAGCAUACUGAAACAGUUACUACCAUCUGCCCUUCUCCUGGACAACACCAACGCCUCCCUCUCCUAUUGUAUGUCUGCUCUGUUACUGAAAAAGUGGGAAGAAACAAGAGGUGUUCUUCUGAGGCAGCAAGUGAGAAAUAGAAGACAACUACAGAAAUUCUAAGAAGAGAAGUAAGAAGCCUGAAAAUCCCCUGCCAAAAUGAUUCAGAUUGAUUUUUUUCUUAUUAUUUCUCAUGAUAAACCAAAUAAUAAAAUUAACAGACCCCAACACAGAAACCUGAUUGAGAAUAAGACAGGAAUCUACACUUAAAUCUCUUUGGCUGUGGAAAUAUACACCUUGACAGACGGGCAGAUUGUAUGUGGGUAUCUAUGCAGCAUGGUAAAUGAUAUUCCAGUAAACCAAAACAUUGCUUGGACUUCUGUCCCGACUUUCUCUGAUAAUAACGUCAAAUGACCACAAGGAGUAAGGUUUUGUGGAUCAGAAUUUUGAACGCUCAUUACUGUUUCUGAGACAUUUUAAGAAUCUAUUUUGGGAGGAUAACAGAUGGUUAAAUAGCUGAACAGCCCAGAUUUCAUCCGCAAAGUGGGUGAGUGCAGAAGAAGCUGGUGCGUGCUGUAAAAUUACAGGCAGAGCAAAGGAGUUGGGGUCUUUGAUGAAGGAACACAUUACGUCCGCACACCUUACUGAUACUCAGAUUUUCAGCUUCCUGUCACGAGGAAGCAGAGCUUAGGCCACGGCCUGGGCUGUUCAGCCAAAACUUCUCUCUGUCCCUGUGCAGUUCGGGAAGCUGUCAGCCCUUUUCAGCCAUUCGGUCUGAGAGUGUCAGGCUUAGUGAUGGACACGUUACGUGAGAACUGUGCACAUAGAUAGGCUCAGACAAGAGACCUAUAUGAGUUUUCCUACUGAAACCCUGUAGUGUGGCACAAGCAACAGCUGUGCUGCGCUCUCUGGGUGACCGCUCACUGCCUAAGUACCAGCUGGCUAAUCCACACUUCCCCCAGCUGGUAGUUUAGAGACAAGAGGGAGCUGAUGGCAACGCGGGAGGUCAGGCAGAUGCCAGGCUUUGUUAUUUCUGUUGCUCACAGAGUGUCUUUUAAUGUUCCUCAUCCCACCUUCAUCCCAAGUACACUGGUAAUAUACACGCAAAAUACCUUUAGCUCCUCAGUACGGGUAGCCUAGAUCUCAGUAGUGCUAUUCUGUAACAGACAUCGAGUUGAAUUUGUCUCAGAAAUUCUGUUGUAUAACUAAUCCUGUGCCCGCUGAAGUCAGUAGCCCAUUGGCAUAAUUAUUUAUAUUGCUCCCAAGGGGGUUAGCAAUAAUGCCAAGUCAAAGUGGAUGAUCAGGGCAUUUCGUACACAUUAUUUGCACAUGCGUUUAAGAUGCAAGACAGCAAAGAAGCAUGGCCCGAAUCUUCCCUGUUUCGUGCCAUCAAGAACGUGUUUUCUGGAAAAGAAUAAUGCUGGAAAGAGUUGCUGGACAUCAGCAAGCAGGUCUGUUAAGCAACAAAGUCUCUGCAGACUCUCAGAAGCCACCUAUCAUCUCAUUUGGACUGAGAAAAGCAAUUAGGCUCCCUUUGCAGAGCUGAAGAAGCCUCUGCACAUGCCACCGGAGUGCACAGAGAAGCCUCUCUGAAUGACCCUGGGCAAAGGGUGAUGGAGCCUCAGUUGGUAUCUGAACUUCAAAAGCAGGAGACUCAGAAGAGGAUCUGGCGGCUCAGCCUUUGGAGGAAACAGAAAUCAAGAGCGCUGGCAUGCAGAAUGCUCUGCAAAUCUGGGUUGGAUUUCUGAAGAAAGAGCCAGCCGCCUUUUUGCUACCAUCGUGCUCAGGAAACAAAAUGGUCUGUAUGAUCUUUGUGAACAGAAAUACCUGCUCAUAUCUCAAUGGUAACCUGCAAGGCAGAAUUGCAGUUUUGAUGCAAUACAGUUUGUGAUCCAGGAGGCUUUGUUGCUUUUAACUCAGGAUGGUUCCUGGUGUGGAGUAUAUACUCCUGGUUCCUUUACCACUGCUGUUAUAAGACCUAGGACAUAAGGAGGGACUUCGCUUUAAUUUGUCUGCUAAUCUUAGUGCCUGCUCUGGUCUUUGUUUUCAUUUAAUCUGGAGCAUUGUUGCCCUUUGAAAAUAUUUUGCUGCAAUUUAGCUUUUUAAAUAAAUUCCUCGGGAAUUAAAAAAUGCACUGGUGACAGGCAAAGCUUAUACAGUGGAAAUGGAACUGUUAUAUUUUCAUAACCAUUCGAGCUCUUUCUUUCAGUUGGGAUGGCCUAUUUGCCUUCAUGAGAUAUUGUGCUACAGAUCAGAAUUUAGAUAGCAUUUUCCCAUAGCAUUCAUAGAUGUCAGCCCCCCUGUGGAAAAGCAGGAAGGCACUGAUCAAAACAAUCUCAAUCUCUCUCCUCCUAACCACAAGGCAAAAUGCCACAGAAAGGCAUAUUCUUACUGAUUUUUAAUCUUGAAAGAAUUAGGACAUUUUUUUGUUUGUUUAUUACCCUGAAUGGGAUGGAAAGGGAUUGACAAUCGCUGAUGCAAAUGAGGGAGAAAUACGUACUGGAAGCAGGCAGUUUGGGCACCGCUGCCAGGCGUGCAAUGUGGCAGCAAUGUGUGGAAAGUGAACCGGAGAAGCUGAGUAACGACAACGGUUGUUAGCUCUUCCCAAGCUCUAGUGUGGCAACAGCUCUGCUGUUGCUAGUGUUUCAACCAGUUCAGGUAUGUCUAUUUAUCAAACUGUAAUCAGAACCUUGGACGAUAGCGCUGACAUGCCUACAGAUGACAGCAGCUCUGGUAUUGGGAGUGGAAUAGUUUUGGCACCCAGCAACAAGAGAAUUCAUUGUCUGAUACAUCCCUGCUGAUACCACGAGUGCUUCGGCAUGUACGCAGGGACCUCACACGGAGCAACAGCAAGGACUGGAGCUCGAUGGAGUGGUAUAAGAAAAACAGGACUAUGUUUUUCAUCUCUCCCAUUCUGUCUUUUAACUCCAGUGAAAACGACAUUAUUCAUAAAACUAAGUCAUAUAGUGUCUCAAAUCCAAAUAGGUCUGUAAUUUUCUCCCCAUAAAGUGCCUAGCUAAUUAACCAAGAACACAAUUAGUUUUGAGUCAACAUCUUCAUAAGCCUUAGCUGGACAGUGGCACAUUGUUUACUGGCUAGCAAUAAAUGCUGUUCCUUUUACCUGUGUAGCAUGCAAUGCUUGAUGCAGUAAAGUCGGCGUGUCUUAAACAUCAUCAGCCUUUGUGCUGGUUUUGUUACUGACUAAACAUGUGACCUAUCAGUUGGUCUUAAAGACCAUGGAUAUGUAGAUUAUAUUUAUACUGUGAACCUGAGGAGCAUUUCUGAGCAGUCAGAUCAGAGUGAGUCUCCGCUGCUUUCCAGCCCCGUGUAGGAGAGAGCCCUGAGGCCGCACUGCUUCCCCACUGCAGGUACACACACAGGUGCAUGGCCCAAACGGGACCUGCAGUAUGUUUCAAACAGGUGCGCGAUCUCAGUUACUGGGAGACUAGGCCCUAAGCUGUGCCUUACCACACCGUAAGCGGGCAGUGUGGGCGCAGCCAAGGCUGAAUUGCCACAGGCCAGCCGAGCCGCGGUAACCGAUGUGGGGCGUUAGCAUGAACUGCAGUGGAAGAGGUUUCUAUGAAGUUUCUUUCAUUUGGGUUGGGCUAAAAGCUGCUCUGACAAUUAGUUGUUGCAGCUCAAUUUGUAUGGGAGACGUCAUGUAACCUGUGUAAGCUUGGAAGUAACAAAAGCCAGGAGUGCAGAUUAAAGUGUGGAAGACUGGAGUGAGCAUGUAAGAUUCUGAACUGUAUCAGGUCUCACUUUCCAUGUGCAAUGUGGUCCUCGGUUGUGCCACCCUUCUGUUGAGAUGUGUUCGUCAAGGUAGUCUAGCCAACUAACUGAAGAUAGCCGGACAUAAAGGAAAUGCUAGAUGGUAAGGGGAGUGAUGUGACCUGGCCUGGCCUGGCCGUGGUGGCACAGUAGUUUCUAGAAGCUACCACAGGUGGGUACAGCUUCAGUAAGAAUUAAAGCUGCAUAUAAAAAGAUGGAUCAUGCCAUAGACCUUCCUAUUGUAAGAACUUAGACCAGCUUUUCACCAGCAUGGUCAAGCCUUUCUCAUAUCUUGUCUUCAUUAGGACUGAGAAGUGGUUCCUGUAAAUGUCCCCUGAAACAUGGUAAAUACUUUGAUGAUAAAAUCCAGUGGCUGUUGCCAUAGACUUAAGAUAAUUCAUUUUGCUUUUUAAAGUGGAUUAAAUAGUUUCCUCAGUCAUAAGACUGUGGCCAAAGCCCACAGCAGCCUUCAGCAAUGACUUCUUCCGCCAAGCAGGGCCUGAACUGGCUCUAAAUUAGCACAUGUGUCAAGCAAGAACGGUUGGGCUGACUGUCCUUCUAAUUAAAGUGAUAGAGUGUAUGGAAAUUGGCUUGCCCAUGCUCAGAUUGUUUGAACAGAAAUACUCAACAUAAGACAGUCCUCCAGAACCAGAAAGUCUGCAUGCCAGUGAUGAGACACCAGGUGAAUCAUUGCUGUUCACAAGGCCAGCACAGUCCUGCUCUGCUGUUUCUAUUCCACGUUACUUGCUGGGGGCCUCCAAAUAAUUCCUCAUUUGUUAAAAUGGAACUAUGGCACUAAUUUAAUGCAAGGUUUUUUUCACUGCCCAUCACUGCAAGAUCUCCUAAGGACUCCAUUUAAAUCAGGAGUGGUGGGAGGAUGAGCAGCAGCAGCAAUUUUGGAACUAGUGGUUAAUGACUGAUUUCUUCCUGCAGUCAAACACUGCGCUACAAGUUUUUGAAGCAAUGCUGAUCUACAAAAGCCAAAAGGUUACAGGCACACUACAUGGGAGAUGCACACGAGGAUGAUCCUAUUUGGUUUGAUGUCAAAAAAAGUUUUACACAAUGUUUUGGUAAAAGAAAAUUAUGUUAGAAUAUAGAAAAACAACUCAAUAUGAAGGGACUGCAUUUUCCCAAUUGCUAUUCAUUCAUCAAAAAUACAUACAAAAUGUAUUCAAUUCUUCAUUAAUUCUGCAUGAAAAAAAAAUGUGUGUGUGUAUUUUAUAUAUUCAGGAAUAUGUUGGCUAAGGUUAAUAAAUUAUUAAUUUAUAAUAAUUAAAGCAUGAGCACUGA